This 497-nucleotide ribosomal RNA is filed under the name uncultured bacterium. RNAcentral describes it as "partial 16S ribosomal RNA". It matches the Rfam family "Bacterial small subunit ribosomal RNA", at positions 28 to 507 of the family's 1533-position model. The record is from RNAcentral.
GAUGAACGCUGGCGGCGUGCCUAAUACAUGCGAGUCGAGCGAACGGACGAGAAGCUUGCUUCUCUGAUGUUAGCGGCGGACGGGUGAGUAACACGUGGAUAACCUACCUAUAAGACUGGGAUAACUUCGGGAAACCGGAGCUAAUACCGGAUAAUAUUUUGAACCGCAUGGUUCAAAAGUGAAAGACGGUCUUGCUGUCACUUAUAGAUGGAUCCGCGCUGCAUUAGCUAGUUGGUAAGGUAACGGCUUACCAAGGCAACGAUGCAUAGCCGACCUGAGAGGGUGAUCGGCCACACUGGAACUGAGACACGGUCCAGACUCCUACGGGAGGCAGCAGUAGGGAAUCUUCCGCAAUGGGCGAAAGCCUGACGGAGCAACGCCGCGUGAGUGAUGAAGGUCUUCGGAUCGUAAAACUCUGUUAUUAGGGAAGAACAUAUGUGUAAGUAACUGUGCGCAUCUUGACGGUACCUAAUCAGAAAGCCACGGCUAACUACGUG